Molecule: ribosomal RNA, 240 nt
Filed under: uncultured bacterium
Lineage: Bacteria
Description: partial 16S ribosomal RNA
Rfam family: Bacterial small subunit ribosomal RNA
Source: RNAcentral
GAUCAUGGCUCAGGAUGAACGCUAGCUACAGGCUUAACACAUGCAAGUCGGGGGGAAACGACAUCGAAAGCUUGCUUUUGAUGGGCGUCGACCGGCGCACGGGUGAGUAACGCGUAUCCAACCUGCCCAUCACUUGGGAAUAACCUUGCGAAAGUAAGACUAAUGCCCAAUGAUAUCCCACGAAGGCAUCCGAACGGGAUUAAAGAUUUAUCGGUGAUGGAUGGGGAUGCGUCUGAUUAG